Pan paniscus (pygmy chimpanzee) is the source of this 276-nucleotide long non-coding RNA. NCBI's taxonomy places the organism in Eukaryota, Metazoa, Chordata, Mammalia, Primates, Hominidae. The record is from Ensembl.
ACAGCCUCCACUAUGAUGAAAUAGAAAGGGCUCUGCCACUUACUACACAUCCAGAUGGAGGCACUGGUAACAUGGCCUUCCUUGCUACUUGUGCUACUAGACAUAAACUGGAUCUCCAUCCAAGCUCUGACAGUCACUGAUGGAAUCAAUGUCAUUGGGGCAUGGAAAACAGCACAGUUCAUGGAUUGGAUGUGGACUAAACAUGAUCAUAUGUGUGAAGUUACAGGAAAAGCCUUCUGGAGCAGGAUUAGAAAGAACAGAAUGGGAUCUAAUUGA